CUCAUUUUCAUCCCUAAAGUCGUGCCCUCCGUAGCCAAGGAGUUCCAAGCUUUCAUCUUCAAAUUUUAACCCCGUUUCUCAACGUAUUGAAUAUCCGAUCGAGCAAUCUGUGUUAAAUCAAGUAAGUAAAACGAGAGGUUUCACGGCGAUAGCCGAAAUGGAAGAAAAAGGGAUCCAGAGUGACUGGAACAUUAAGAUGGAAAAAGGGCUUAUGCUCAUAAGCCUGUCAGGUAGCAUGCUCAAUACUUAAAUGGUCUAAUUCUCUUAUGUGUUUUAAUGUGUUUAUUAUGUGACAUAUUGCUUGAUAAAUUAUGAUUAAUUAUGUGAUAAAAGACUUAUGAGGUAAAAUAUGAAAGUAAGAUGAAUUAUUGAAUGAUUUGGUAAUGAAGUAUGAAAAGGAAAGAAUAUGAUUGUGACUAUAAAGAUGGUGAGAUAUAUACAAAUAAGAUUUACAUGUAAAAUAUGUCUGAUCGAUCUGUGAUGACGUCUGAUCUGUCCUACAUCUGAUGACAUAGGACAGCAGCGCUGCAUUAUUUGUGAUCACUCGUCUUUUGGAUAACCGAAGUGAGGAUCGUCUGUUAUCUGAUGGGCCCUAUCUGAUCUGUCUGAUAUGCACCCUCAUGGGUGGUCUGAUCAACUGUCUGAUAUGCACCCUCAUGGGUGAUAUGAUUAUCUGUAUGCACCCUAAAUGGGUGGUCAGUGCGGAGUCCUCUCAAUGACAAAAUCCGCGUCCGUAUCUGAUUAUCUGAUUCUGAUUCUGAUUUUGAUUCUGAUCCUGAUCUGGUCCGCGUACCCUAGUCUGUCACUAAGCACAUUAAGGGCCCAUAUGUGAAAGUUAUGUGUUAGUGUGGAUCAAAAUAUUCGUGAUGAUAUAUGUGACAAUACGCGUAUGAUAAUAUAUAAGUUAUAAUAUGAGAUUUGGUGAAAUAUCUGUUAUAUUAUACGUGAAAAUGGAUUAUGUUACAUAAUUAUGUUGAAUUUUGAUAAAAAUAUUGAGAAUCUGAGAUUUAAAGUCGUAGAUGAAGAUGUGACUACUGGUACGGGUAUGUAGAUACGUGUAAUGUCGUCUGUGAUUUGUCUAUGUUAAUGUGUGGAUAUCAUGUGGAAUAUUAGAUGCUUCAUAUGAAUGCUGAUGACUGUUGAUAAAUUCUGGGUUUGAUUUUGCCUAUUGUUGGGUUCUGGGCAUGUGUUGGUUAUAGAGGAGAUGCUGCCCAAUUUAUGUUAGAAAUUAAUAAGACAAUAAUAAUAUGAUAUAUGCGGUAAUGUUUGGUAAAUAAAAUAAUAAGAAUUUAAAGAAUUUUAAAGUUGUAUGAUUAUUGCUUGUAGAGAAUUUUGGCUGAAGUGUUGGGUGUGCUACAGGUUUAUCGGCAUUGGGGAGUAUCGGUCGAUGUUCAUUCAAGUCUACGUCAGUGUUGCAUCCUCGUCGGGUCACUGAAUGCUAUCUGUGGUAUAUAGUGGUGGCAUGUUUAGAAAUCCGAUUAUGAUAUUCUAAAAUCAGUUGCGUUGUAGUUUAAUGUUGAUAAAUUAGUUUUCGAGGAAAUAUAAACUUAUAUGCUUUUAUAUGUAAGUAAUGGUCUCAAUUGGUUACGAUAAUGAAAUUUUAAAUUGUCAUAA
This is a long non-coding RNA of Salvia splendens (bonfire salvia), 1614 nucleotides long. RefSeq lists it as uncharacterized. The record is from RefSeq and is a predicted model, not a curated record. Lineage: Eukaryota; Viridiplantae; Streptophyta; Magnoliopsida; Lamiales; Lamiaceae. The transcript is spliced from 2 exons.